RNAcentral lists this long non-coding RNA (1022 nucleotides) under Sparus aurata (gilthead seabream). RNAcentral's name for it is "lncRNA (ENSSAUG00010015813.1)". The record is from RNAcentral. Lineage: Eukaryota; Metazoa; Chordata; Actinopteri; Spariformes; Sparidae.
CUGACUGUCAGCCAGCAUGGGUCGGCGCUCGUCUGACAGUGAGGAUGACAGCCGGAGCAAGAGGAAGAAGAAACAGCGUCGUCGGUCAUCCUCCUCUUCCUCGUCUUCGUCUUCGUCCUCUGGGAGCAGGGUGAACAGCAGCCGGAGUCGGAGGUCCAGUCGCCGGAGCCGUUCUCGCUCCAGAGACAGAGACAGGAGGAGAAAACGACGUUCCAGCAGCAGUUCGUCCCACAGUUCACCCCGCAGGAAAAGGAGUCGCAGCGCGGAUAGAGACAAAGGGAGGAGCCACCGCUCACACAGGUCACGCAGCCGGGACAGAAGGUCUCAUUCUCGCCACCGGCGGUCUCGCAGCAGGAGUGACAGCCGCAGCCAGCGAGGAAGCCGCAACCGCAAAAAGAGCCGCAGCCACAGUCGCCGGAGGAGCCGCAGCAGAGACCGGGACCGGAGCCGACGCAAAGGCCGUGACCGCGAGAGGGAGAAAGAGAAGGACAGGGACAGAGGGAGGGACAGAAACAAGGACAGAGAGAAGGAAAAGAAUAAAGACAAGGCAGACAAAAAGGGGUAAGUGAUGAAUGACUUCCUACAUACGAACACACAUGUUCAGGUAGACACAAAACACACCAAACAAGUGUUGGGUUGGCCCAGCUCAAUCUAAACUGCAGUACAGCCUCAAAUAUGGAGCUCAGUCUUGGCUCCUCCACCUGUCCAUCCAUCACUUGAUCCUUCCAUCGAUCAGUCCAUCAUUCCCUUUCUUCCUCAAUUUCCCCCUGCAAUCAAGCAUAAGGCUACACUGGCCUUGUAAUGUGAUAUAACUCCCUCUUGCAAGAGAAGAUGUCAUGGAGAUGCUGCACAGGUCAAGUUUUUUGGGGAAUGUUUGGUCACCAGAUGAUGUCUGAUGACUUUAAGUCUACUUUUCACCCUCUGGACCCACCUGCAAUAAGCUGAGAAACAUAACAACAUCAUAUGCAUCUCUGAUGUACUUAUACCAAAAAAAAACAACAAUAAUGAGAGCUACUUAUUAA